CAACCCUCAAGCCCAGCUUGGUGUUGGGGAAGUUCUGCUCUGCAGCACUCCCCGAAAAAUAUUGGCGGUGCUCGUCGGUACUCCAUGCGCAGUAAUUUUCAUUUCGUAUGGGUGCCGGCGGUGCUAUGCUUGCCACUAAUCCAAACAUUUCGU
Molecule: unclassified non-coding RNA, 153 nt
Filed under: uncultured Sordariomycetes
Lineage: Eukaryota; Fungi; Ascomycota; Sordariomycetes
Description: sequence contains ITS2
Source: RNAcentral